RNAcentral lists this ribosomal RNA (484 nucleotides) under uncultured bacterium. Its description in RNAcentral is "partial 16S ribosomal RNA". It matches the Rfam family "Bacterial small subunit ribosomal RNA", at positions 29 to 523 of the family's 1533-position model. The record is from RNAcentral.
AGUGAACGCUGGCGGCGUGCUUAACACAUGCAAGUCGAACGAGAACGGGUUAUAGCUUGCUAUAAUUGUCAGCUAAGUGGCGCACGGGUGAGUAAUAUAUAGGUAAUAUGCCUCUUACUAAGGGAUAACAAAUGGAAACGUUUGCUAAUACCUUAUACUCCUUAUUAACAGGAGUUAAUAAGGGAAAGAUUUAUUGGUAAGAGAUUAGCCUGUAUUGUAUCAGUUAGUUGGUGAGGUAAUGGCUUACCAAGACUAUGACACAUAACUGGUUUGAGAGGAUGAUCAGUCACACUGGAACUGAGACACGGUCCAGACUCCUACGGGAGGCAGCAGUGGGGAAUAUUGCACAAUGGACGAAAGUCUGAUGCAGCAACGCCGCGUGGAGGAUGACACAUUUCGGUGCGUAAACUCCUUUUAUAUGAGAAGAUAAUGACGGUAUUAUAUGAAUAAGCACCGGCUAACUCCGUGCCAGCCGCCGCGGUAA